Perognathus longimembris pacificus (Pacific pocket mouse) is the source of this 190-nucleotide long non-coding RNA. RefSeq lists it as uncharacterized. NCBI's taxonomy places the organism in Eukaryota, Metazoa, Chordata, Mammalia, Rodentia, Heteromyidae. The record is from RefSeq and is a predicted model, not a curated record. The transcript is spliced from 2 exons.
GGGGCAUGAUCAUAUUAAUCAACAUGAUUCCAAGCACAGAACCAAGCAGAAGAGGAACUUUUACAGAUGAGAAGUGGGAUAGGGGCUGGGAAUACAACAUUCAACAACAAAAUAAGGAAUUGGCUAGAGAAAUGAUAAUGAAGUAAUCCUAUUUCUGAGGGAAAUUACUUUGUAAGGUCCCUAGGACAGA